This 1513-nucleotide long non-coding RNA is filed under the name Gadus morhua (Atlantic cod). RNAcentral describes it as "lncRNA (ENSGMOG00000034225.1)". The record is from RNAcentral. Lineage: Eukaryota; Metazoa; Chordata; Actinopteri; Gadiformes; Gadidae.
UGUACAUUUUAUGUUUGAGCUUUACUGGAACCUGUUCUGGUUCAAUACUGCCCAAAUCUUUGCCUUGGGUACACAAAUAAGACAAUAAGUCAAGACAGCCAAUAACCAGCAACCUUGAUUUAAACAACAAAGUAUGAUAUCAUAUCAGUCAAUAGUGUUUCACUUUUUAAAAACAAUGCUACAAUAAAUUAAUAGUAAAUAGAUACUGGCAAAAUAAAAUAAGGAAUUAGGAAUGUGUCAUUGUGGCAUGUUCCUUGAAGAUUGGGGAAGAAUCCUUUACAUCAGUUCAUUCCACCGUCGAGGAGCCUUUAGGAAGGUUUCCACGCGGUCGAGGCAGUGCCAGACGCUGUUCGUUACCGGACCUCAGGGGUACCUCGGGGACGAAUGACCGAUAUGGGUGGGAGGGUGCAGAUCCGGGCACUAUACCCUGAAUGACACUACCAAGGAUUUGAACUUGAUGCGGAUGGUUGUUCGAGACAAAGAGGGAGAUAGGCUUGGCAUGUGUGCUGUGGCGCUCUCCUGCAUUCUGAAUCCUGUGCAUAAGUUUAGCUCCUGCUUAUUGAUGAAGGAUUAUUAUUGUGUUAUUGUUAUUAUCGUUGUUGUUAUUAGGCAUUUUACAGUCAGAUUGUACCUCUCUACCUCAAUAAAAGUUGUAGGGAAAGAAUCACAUUGAUUUUAUUGUGUACAUCAGAACAGAACUACUAAUAAACGAAUAAUAAUAACAUUGAUAUAAAAGUACAGUAUUUUUUGUGUUAUGGUAUUGUGAGAUAAGCACACUAUCACUUUGGAAGUGAUCAAGAUAUGUCACAUUUGUCAUCUUAGACGCCAGGCAUACUGUGUUCUGGGUUCAGUGGAUUGUCUUGAGUGGUUGAGCCUGAAUCUGUCAUGUGCUGCAGAUGAGCCUGGCUCUGAUCCACGACAAGGACCACAUCAAGAACUUCUGGGAGAAGAAGAUAGUGGCCGUUGGGGAGCACUGCGAGACCGAGGAGAUGAGGAAGUCGAAGAGUGCGUUGAGAAAACUGCGGGGCGAGUGGCUGGUGCGUCUGGAGAACAGAAACAAACAUCUGAAGAGCCUCAACGACGAGUACAGCCGCAAAGCCAAGAUGGCCGCGCCGGAGAAGGAGCAGGAGGAGCAGACGUAGGGAACCAUUCUACCGCCUCCUUCAGACUACACUGAUGGCUCCAACAAUAUCACUAUUCGACCACCAUCUCCAGCAUUUCCCUUGUUGUAGUUUACUAUGUAGAGCGGGACACUGAGAUGUUUGGAGGUUCCCAUGCAUGCAAAAGGGGGAUAGAAGGUUAGGCUUGUAUUUUCUGUGUAGUUGAAUGGCUGCAUACUGAGGGAUUAUAGAGUUUGUUUGAUCAUUGGGAAUAGGGCUAAUCACUGGUCAUUAAAUCAGUAACACUGUUCUUUGUGUGAAGUUAGAUAACCUGUGAAUGUAUCUUCAAAGCUGAAGCAGAUUCUGGUCCUAUAUGUCUGUUUGAAGAAUAAAUGCCCUAUUUUUUCCCGUCA